This 76-nucleotide transfer RNA is filed under the name Bifidobacteriaceae bacterium. RNAcentral describes it as "tRNA-His". It matches the Rfam family "tRNA". Rfam says of the family: Transfer RNA (tRNA) molecules are approximately 80 nucleotides in length. Their secondary structure includes four short double-helical elements and three loops (D, anti-codon, and T loops). Lineage: Bacteria; Bacillati; Actinomycetota; Actinomycetes; Bifidobacteriales; Bifidobacteriaceae. The record is from RNAcentral.
GUGGCUGUAGCUCAGUUGGUAGAGCUCCUGGUUGUGGUCCAGGCGGUCGCGAGUUCAAGUCUCGUCAGCCACCCCA